UGGGGAAUAUUGGACAAUGGGCGAAAGCCUGAUCCAGCCAUGCCGCGUGUGUGAAGAAGGUCUUCGGAUUGUAAAGCACUUUAAGUUGGGAGGAAGGGCAGUAAGCGAAUACCUUGCUGUUUUGACGUUACCGACAGAAUAAGCACCGGCUAACUCUGUGACAGCAGCCGCGGUAAUACAGAGGGUGCAAGCGUUAAUCGGAAUUACUGGGCGUAAAGCGCGCGUAGGUGGUUCGUUAAGUUGAAUGUGAAAGCCCCGGGCUCAACCUGGGAACUGCAUCCAAAACUGGCGAGCUAGAGUAGGGCAGAGGGUGGUGGAAUUUCCUGUGUAGCGGUGAAAUGCGUAGAUAUAGGAAGGAACACCAGUGGCGAAGGCGACCACCUGGGCUCAUACUGACACUGAGGUGCGAAAGCGUGGGGAGCAAACAGG
This 429-nucleotide ribosomal RNA is filed under the name Pseudomonadota bacterium. Its description in RNAcentral is "Proteobacteria bacterium partial 16S ribosomal RNA". It matches the Rfam family "Bacterial small subunit ribosomal RNA", at positions 355 to 776 of the family's 1533-position model. The record is from RNAcentral. Lineage: Bacteria; Pseudomonadati; Pseudomonadota.